RNAcentral lists this ribosomal RNA (497 nucleotides) under uncultured bacterium. RNAcentral describes it as "partial 16S ribosomal RNA". It matches the Rfam family "Bacterial small subunit ribosomal RNA", at positions 28 to 507 of the family's 1533-position model. The record is from RNAcentral.
GAUGAACGCUGGCGGCGUGCCUAAUACAUGCAAGUCGAGCGAACAGACGAGGAGCUUGCUCCUCCGACGUUAGCGGCGGACGGGUGAGUAACACGUGGAUAACCUACCUAUAAGACUGGGAUAACUUCGGGAAACCGGAGCUAAUACCGGAUAAUAUAUUGAACCGCAUGGUUCAAUAGUGAAAGACGGUUUUGCUGUCACUUAUAGAUGGAUCCGCGCCGCAUUAGCUAGUUGGUAAGGUAACGGCUUACCAAGGCAACGAUGCGUAGCCGACCUGAGAGGGUGAUCGGCCACACUGGAACUGAGACACGGUCCAGACUCCUACGGGAAGCAGCAGUAGGGAAUCUUCCGCAAUGGGCGAAAGCUUGACGGAGCAACGCCGCGUGAGUGAUGAAGGUCUUCGGAUCGUAAAACUCUGUUAUUAGGGAUGAACAAAUGUGUAAGUAACUAUGCACGUCUUGACGGUACCUAAUCAGAAAGCCACGGCUAACUACGUG